Molecule: long non-coding RNA, 383 nt
Organism: Xenia sp. Carnegie-2017
Lineage: Eukaryota; Metazoa; Cnidaria; Anthozoa; Malacalcyonacea; Xeniidae
Exons: 5
Source: RefSeq, a predicted model, not a curated record
UACCUUAUCAACCAUUCUCUAAAGGAGAUAAACUUGGCAAGGUUUCUGAUUGGUCAAGUACAGCCUAUCAAAAUCGUUGAUACCAAAAUAAAUACUUAAAUCAAUUUGGUGGUGGUAAUCAAUAUGCAUAUUAUCACGAAGAAGAUGAAUCAACUUUCCAUCUUGUUGACACAAGUCGACCACAAAAGCCUGUUUACAUGUGCAAUAGGAACAAAUUCAAUCAGAGGAAUAAUCGACGUGAUAAAGAGCGUCAAAUGCAUUGUCAGCAAGCUGGGAUGCAGAAUUUGCUGAAGACUCGUGACAACAGACUCCAUCGUAAAUUGCAAAAACAAUUUGCCAACAGAAACAACUGGCAGAAACAUAGAAAUCAGACUCCUCAGAGG